GGUGGAGGAGGGACGCGCUGGAAACGCGAUCCGGGCGCUGAGCAAGUUCGAGAAAAUUUUGGAAUUUUGCCACGGAGGAGAAAAACGAGGAGAUCCCGAUGAUUUUAAAUUCCUUUUUAUUGAGAUUCUGGAAGUGGCGAUGAAAAUUCCCGGGAAAUAACUUUGGCACGGAGGAGGAGGAGGAGGAGGAGGAGGAGGAGGAGGAGGAAGAGGAGGAGAAAACCUCGGCCAAGUUCAAUAAAGUUUUGGAAUUUUGCCACGAAGGAGAGGAGCAGAAAGAGGAGAAGAGGAGGAGGAGGAGGAGGAGAAAACCUCGGCCAGGUUCAAUAAAAUUUUGGAAUUUUGCCACGGAGGAGAGGAGCAGAAAGAGGAGGAGAAGAGGAGGAGGAGGAGGAGGAGGAGGAGAAAACCUCGGCCAGGUUCAAUAAAAUUUUGGAAUUUUGCCACGAAGGAGAGGAGCAGAAAGAGGAGAAGAGGAGGAGGAGGAGGAGGAGGAGAAGAGGAGGAGAAAACCUCGGCCAAGCUCAAUAAAAUUUUGGAAUUUUGCCACGGAGGAGAGGAGCAGAAAGAGGAGAAGAGGAGGAGGAGGAGGAGGAGAAGAGGAGGAGGAGGAGGAGGAGGAGGAGGAGGAGAAAACCUCGGCCAAGCUCAAUAAAAUUUUGGAAUUUUGCCACGAAGGAGAGGAGCAGAAAAAGGAGAAGAGGAGGAGGAGGAGGAGAAGAGGAGGAGGAGGAGGAAAAAACCUCGGCCAAGUUCAAUAAAGUUUUGGAGUUUUGCCA
RNAcentral lists this long non-coding RNA (779 nucleotides) under Lonchura striata (white-rumped munia). RNAcentral's name for it is "domestica (Bengalese finch) lncRNA (ENSLSDG00000008361.1)". Lineage: Eukaryota; Metazoa; Chordata; Aves; Passeriformes; Estrildidae. The record is from RNAcentral.